This 253-nucleotide ribosomal RNA is filed under the name uncultured bacterium. Its description in RNAcentral is "partial 16S ribosomal RNA". It matches the Rfam family "Bacterial small subunit ribosomal RNA", at positions 524 to 776 of the family's 1533-position model. The record is from RNAcentral.
UACAUGGGGUGCAAACGUUGCUCGGAAUCAUUGGGCGUAAAGCGCGCGUAGGCGGUUGCCUAAGUCAGAUGUGAAAGCCCUCGGCUCAACUGGGGAAGUGCAUCUGAAACUGGGCAGCUAGAGUACUAAAGAGGGUCGCGGAAUUCCCGGUGUAGAGGUGAAAUUCGUAGAUAUCGGGAGGAACACCGGUGGCGAAGGCGGCGACCUGGGUAGAUACUGACGCUGAGGCGCGAAAGCGUGGGGAGCAAACAGG